This 2984-nucleotide long non-coding RNA is filed under the name Homo sapiens (human). Its description in RNAcentral is "non-protein coding lnc-GAN-1:4". The record is from RNAcentral. Lineage: Eukaryota; Metazoa; Chordata; Mammalia; Primates; Hominidae.
UAAAAAAUUAAAAAAAAAGGUCUGCUCAGAAAUAGGGGAAACACGGGAUCAAGAUCAUUAGAGAUUUAUAGGCUGGGAUGCACACCAUGUCUUCAGAGCUAGCCGGCUGUGUCUUCUCCCCGUUUCUUUCACUGGUGAAUAACCUUUCGUUUGAACCAGCCUUGAUUGUUCUCUCCAUGUUCCACUGUGGCUCCCCAUGGACACUGCUAGGUGGAAUCUCUGAGAAAACAGGCACUUCGCAGUCGGCGCAUCUUUCUCUGCCAGCUUAGGGAUUGCCGUCAAGGUGGAGGAAGGGUAUUUUGGCCAUGUUCGGAGUCGUUGUUUUUACUCACUCUUCUUGGGAUAGCUUUCCCACCCUGCCCUCUGCUCCUCUGUCCCAACCCUCUUCCAGCCUGGUUUUUUUACUGCUUGAAUUAUGUAUCCAAAAUAAAAAGGAAAAGAAAGGUGCAGUUGGGGCGGGUUGUUGGGGGCGAGGAGAAUAGCCCUUCUGGUUCUUCAGACCACAUAAUGGCCAGAGCAUGAGCCUCACAGAUCCCUGAGCAGACCUGCAUACUAGCACUUUCCACAACCAGCUGGCCCUGGCUGUGAGAGUCAGAUCUGUCCCCAAGGCUCCAGGUCAGAACUUGGACCCAGGUGCCUUCUGAGGCACCGCCAAGGACACAUCCCAGCGCCUUAGGCACCUGUAGGCUAGAAUGACACCUUCCAGGCCAGCCCCAGAGGCCCUCAGGGCUCCCCCUCCAAGCCGGGAGGGCAGGCAGGCACAGGCCCCGCUCACUACCUCAGCACCCAGUGCAGCCCCAGGCUCCCGGACGUGCUCGGCCCGGUGGCCUCUUGUGUGACAGGCCCUCUGCCAUGUCUGUCCGCAGAGCCGGGUGGGGACCCUCCGUGUGGGUCCUCCUCUGUCCCUUUGCAGCUCGCAUUCGCCAGAGCGGAGCGCAGCCCUUGUUUCCUUCUUUCCUCUUCAGCUCUGACUUAAAAACACACUAUGUUCCAAAUCGUUGUGGGAUCGGAAACUAGAACUGCUUGUUUCCAGGAGAGACCACCUUUUCAUAUUUUUUUUAAAAGGAAUUUGUGCUUCAAAAGAAACUCCAAAAAAUAAAUUUAUUGUUAGUCUAGCAUAUGCUCAUUGAAAUUGACUUAUGUUUUAUUUUAAAAAAUCAUGUAGGAUCUGGUACAUGGGGCGGGCAAAAGGGUAUCAUCAGCUUAAGAAGUAAAGAAGUGAGCCUUCCAUUUGUGUGGGUGAUAACAUCUUUUUCCUAGAUCGUACCUCAAAAUUCAGGCUCUCCAUGAAAACAAAGAUAAUCUGAAUAAAAAUUGUGUGUUGGGAAAUGUAUCAAGUGACCUUCAGUUAAGAAAAGCACAGGCUGUUUAUUAGCACAACUUGCUUCAUUAAAUAAUUCGUGGCUUUUUCUGCCACUGGGGUUCUUUUCGUUUUGAAUUCAGCUUGUGUUUGGUUCCUCGGUCUUGUACCCCUUCAGUUCGCCGGCGACGUAAUGGUGAUACCCUUUGUUUUUUGUAUCAUACCUUUUGUGAAUUGUGACAACCAUCCCGUAAUCAUUGUGGCCUCAGCAGAAGUUUUGAACAAUCUUUGCAGCCACUGUUGGGGUGUGUACCAGCAGCCUGGAAGUGACCAGCAGAGCUGACAAAAGCACCCCCUGCUCUGCCCACCUCCGCAGAGUCCUGUCCUCAUCAGAAACGGUAUCGCGGAUGCUCCUCAGGUAGGCGUAGGCAGACUUCAUUGUGUGUUAGCAGUGACAGUGAUGUCUGUACCUAUCUGUGAGUGAGACCCAUUCAUGACACACUAGAAAUGUGUACAUUCUUUUGUUUUCCAUCACGGGUAUAGGUCUUCUGCCAUGAAAGAGAACUAUCAAGGAAAUUCCUGAAAACAAGAUUUGUAAAUUCGAUUUGACCCUCCCAAAUUCAGGGCUGCUCUUUGCAGUGGUCCCUGGCCCAGCAGGUGGCCGGCGUGGCUCCUGUUGGCUCAUGCCAGUGUUGUGCUGGACCCUCGAGUAUGUGACUGUCACCCUUGUCCAAGACUGGUUUUUAACAGUCUUGAUUUGUCAUUUUGAUGCUUUGAAUACUAUAAGGAAAAUGCCACGAAUACCAUAUAAAUACCACACCAAUCUGUUGAACAUAUCUGUGUUUUCUGACAUGGGACCUGCAGAAUAGUAUUUCUUUUAAAUCCUGCAACUUUAUUAUCUAGUAGAAUUCCAAGUAGGUCUGCUUAGACACAUAUUCAGUGAAGAUUGUAUUGUGUGUGAUAUUAUCCUAUCUUUAAUAAAGUCCUACUACUGAAAAACAGGGAUUUGCAAUGAAAAUCAUAGCUAAAUAGGCAGGUUUAGAAAGUUCAAAAUAUUGGAAGUGCUAGAAGGCUGCAACUUGUAAAAUUGUACUCCCCAAGUUCAGUAGGAUAGUAGAGAAGUCGUGCUAAGUUGAUUUCAUUGAAAUGUCACGUCUCACAUCCUGUGGUCCAAAGGUACUAGUUUGUUUUGUGGAAUAAUUUUCUGUUCACUUGCUGAUAAGAAAUUUAGCAGUCAGAAGUAAUUUUUAAUUAAUAACCUUUCUUUUUAAAAGUUGCUUUAUGGUUUACAAGUAAUACUGAUGCAAAAAGGAUUUGUUAACCUAAAUUAAGUAGCACGCACUUUGUUUACAUGCUUCAGUAUAUUGUGGGGUUGGUCCCUUCUCACGAACCCAGGACCUGUGCUUGGGGAACAUUUUGCCAUCAUGCUGUUCUCUUGUACCAAGGAUCAGUGAAAGUGUUUUAUCUUUUUUAUGUAGUUUGUAUUGACUGGAUUUUAUAACUGUAAGAAAACAGAAACAGAGUGUUGUAUUUUGAUCUGAAAUUUGUGUAUGCUAAAGUAAUUUUGUUUUAUGUAUUGGAAGUUCACUUAAAAACUUGAAAUAUUUUCUAGAAGGGUACCACACAAAAGGAAUCAUCUUUAAGCUGUUUAAUUAACCUAAUAAAAUAAUUUGAUGGGGAAGGC